Molecule: long non-coding RNA, 511 nt
Organism: Gavialis gangeticus (Gharial)
Lineage: Eukaryota; Metazoa; Chordata; Crocodylia; Gavialidae
Exons: 2
Source: RefSeq, a predicted model, not a curated record
GGCAGAAAACUUCCCAUAACUGUGUAGAAGACAAAUCCUUCCACUAUCCCUGGACUUCUAGCAAAAAGACACCUGGCUGCUGCGUUAGAACAAGGGAGAGCUGCUACUCCAUUUACUUGAAUAUACUAACCCCACCUCACCCUCAAGUGAGGCAUGGUUCAUCUCUACCAAGAAAUUCAGGCAACUACACGAACAGAGCUCAGCAUUACCAGCACCUACCUGCCUUAAUGUAAUGGCCAUAAGGAAUAUCUUUCUGUAGUUUUUUUUCCAGUGAAGAUAGCUUUUGCUCACGCUCAGCUGGCAAAACAAGGUAGUAGUGAAUUUGGCUAGUUAAGAGACAUGUGAACAACAGCAACCAUGAAUUCUCACAAGAAUGCAGUUCCACAACUCUGCUGACCGACUCUUAUACCCAUGCAAACUUCAGUGAGGGCUGUCGGACUCCAUGUGGAUACAGGGCUUACCCAACGCAGAGUCAACUGCACUCAGGUUGAAUAAUCUAGGAAUCUCAGGA